RNAcentral lists this long non-coding RNA (563 nucleotides) under Olea europaea (common olive). Its description in RNAcentral is "long non-coding RNA (OEUR_LNC007808)". Lineage: Eukaryota; Viridiplantae; Streptophyta; Magnoliopsida; Lamiales; Oleaceae. The record is from RNAcentral.
CAACAAUUGAAGUGAAUAAACCGUAAAAAUGUAAUUGGUACUUCAUCUUAAAUUAAUUGGUAACCAAGGUGAUGAGAUAUUUAGUGAACAGUAUUGUAACAGAGGAAAUACACGAAAAUGGACUUUCCACUGUAGCAAAUUUUCAUAUUGGCCUUUGACCCAUUAAAUGAAUUGAAAAAAAAAAAGAAAUUAAGUUUAAAAAAACAUUACACUAAAAGAGCAAAUUUACCUUUCAGCUAGUGACUGUUUGAAUCUCAUUUUCUAGCCGACCGACCAAAAAAGAAAACCGACACACAGUCGUCUGAAAAUUGUCCGAUCAACCACCGGCCAACUACACCACCGUCGUAGUGAGCUUCACGCAUCUACACCGGAAAGAAUACCGGUUAGUUUUCUCGCACAGAGUUCCAGUUGAAAAUUUAUUGAAUAAUAUUAGAUUUAAUUAGAUGAAUAUUCGAUUUGAUUUCUAUCAUGAGCAUGAGUAGUGUUAGAUUGUGGGCAUGCUGAGAUAAAAAAUGUGAUAUUUUUUGUAAUUUUUGGACCUACUGGCCGGCAAUGGCGAUUUC